UACAGAGACUGCAAGCGUUAUUCGGAUUCACUGGGCGUAAAGGGUGCGCAGGCGGCCAAGUGUGUGAGGCGUGAAAGCCUGGGCUUAACUCCAGAAUUGCACCUCAAACUACAUGGCUAGAGCAUUGGAGAGGGUAGCAGAAUUCACGGUGUAGCAGUGAAAUGCGUAGAUAUCGUGAGGAAUACCAGAGGCGAAGGCGGCUACCUGGACAAUUGCUGACGCUCAGGCACGAAAGCGUGGGGAGCAAAAGGG
This 252-nucleotide ribosomal RNA is filed under the name uncultured bacterium. RNAcentral describes it as "partial 16S ribosomal RNA". It matches the Rfam family "Bacterial small subunit ribosomal RNA", at positions 524 to 776 of the family's 1533-position model. The record is from RNAcentral.